UAAGCGACUAAGCGUACACGGUGGAUGCCCUGGCAGUCAGAGGCGAUGAAGGACGUGCUAAUCUGCGAUAAGCGUCGGUAAGGUGAUAUGAACCGUUAUAACCGGCGAUUUCCGAAUGGGGAAACCCAGUGUGUUUCGACACACUAUCAUUAACUGAAUCCAUAGGUUAAUGAGGCGAACCGGGGGAACUGAAACAUCUAAGUACCCCGAGGAAAAGAAAUCAACCGAGAUUCCCCCAGUAGCGGCGAGCGAACGGGGAGCAGCCCAGAGCCUGAAUCAGUGUGUGUGUUAGUGGAAGCGUCUGGAAAGGCGCGCGAUACAGGGUGACAGCCCCGUACACAAAAAUGCACAUACUGUGAGCUCGAUGAGUAGGGCGGGACACGUGGUAUCCUGUCUGAAUAUGGGGGGACCAUCCUCCAAGGCUAAAUACUCCUGACUGACCGAUAGUGAACCAGUACCGUGAGGGAAAGGCGAAAAGAACCCCGGCGAGGGGAGUGAAAAAGAACCUGAAACCGUGUACGUACAAGCAGUGGGAGCACGCUUAGGCGUGUGACUGCGUACCUUUUGUAUAAUGGGUCAGCGACUUAUAUUCUGUAGCAAGGUUAACCGAAUAGGGGAGCCGAAGGGAAACCGAGUCUUAACUGGGCGUUAAGUUGCAGGGUAUAGACCCGAAACCCGGUGAUCUAGCCAUGGGCAGGUUGAAGGUUGGGUAACACUAACUGGAGGACCGAACCGACUAAUGUUGAAAAAUUAGCGGAUGACUUGUGGCUGGGGGUGAAAGGCCAAUCAAACCGGGAGAUAGCUGGUUCUCCCCGAAAGCUAUUUAGGUAGCGCCUCGUGAAUUCAUCUCCGGGGGUAGAGCACUGUUUCGGCAAGGGGGUCAUCCCGACUUACCAACCCGAUGCAAACUGCGAAUACCGGAGAAUGUUAUCACGGGAGACACACGGCGGGUGCUAACGUCCGUCGUGAAGAGGGAAACAACCCAGACCGCCAGCUAAGGUCCCAAAGUCAUGGUUAAGUGGGAAACGAUGUGGGAAGGCCCAGACAGCCAGGAUGUUGGCUUAGAAGCAGCCAUCAUUUAAAGAAAGCGUAAUAGCUCACUGGUCGAGUCGGCCUGCGCGGAAGAUGUAACGGGGCUAAACCAUGCACCGAAGCUGCGGCAGCGACGCUUAUGCGUUGUUGGGUAGGGGAGCGUUCUGUAAGCCUGUGAAGGUGUGCUGUGAGGCAUGCUGGAGGUAUCAGAAGUGCGAAUGCUGACAUAAGUAACGAUAAAGCGGGUGAAAAGCCCGCUCGCCGGAAGACCAAGGGUUCCUGUCCAACGUUAAUCGGGGCAGGGUGAGUCGACCCCUAAGGCGAGGCCGAAAGGCGUAGUCGAUGGGAAACAGGUUAAUAUUCCUGUACUUGGUGUUACUGCGAAGGGGGGACGGAGAAGGCUAUGUUGGCCGGGCGACGGUUGUCCCGGUUUAAGCGUGUAGGCUGGUUUUCCAGGCAAAUCCGGAAAAUCAAGGCUGAGGCGUGAUGACGAGGCACUACGGUGCUGAAGCAACAAAUGCCCUGCUUCCAGGAAAAGCCUCUAAGCAUCAGGUAACAUCAAAUCGUACCCCAAACCGACACAGGUGGUCAGGUAGAGAAUACCAAGGCGCUUGAGAGAACUCGGGUGAAGGAACUAGGCAAAAUGGUGCCGUAACUUCGGGAGAAGGCACGCUGAUAUGUAGGUGAAGUCCCUCGCGGAUGGAGCUGAAAUCAGUCGAAGAUACCAGCUGGCUGCAACUGUUUAUUAAAAACACAGCACUGUGCAAACACGAAAGUGGACGUAUACGGUGUGACGCCUGCCCGGUGCCGGAAGGUUAAUUGAUGGGGUCAGCGCAAGCGAAGCUCUUGAUCGAAGCCCCGGUAAACGGCGGCCGUAACUAUAACGGUCCUAAGGUAGCGAAAUUCCUUGUCGGGUAAGUUCCGACCUGCACGAAUGGCGUAAUGAUGGCCAGGCUGUCUCCACCCGAGACUCAGUGAAAUUGAACUCGCUGUGAAGAUGCAGUGUACCCGCGGCAAGACGGAAAGACCCCGUGAACCUUUACUAUAGCUUGACACUGAACAUUGAGCCUUGAUGUGUAGGAUAGGUGGGAGGCUUAGAAGUGUGGACGCCAGUCUGCAUGGAGCCGACCUUGAAAUACCACCCUUUAAUGUUUGAUGUUCUAACGUUGACCCGUAAUCCGGGUUGCGGACAGUGUCUGGUGGGUAGUUUGACUGGGGCGGUCUCCUCCUAAAGAGUAACGGAGGAGCACGAAGGUUGGCUAAUCCUGGUCGGACAUCAGGAGGUUAGUGCAAUGGCAUAAGCCAGCUUGACUGCGAGCGUGACGGCGCGAGCAGGUGCGAAAGCAGGUCAUAGUGAUCCGGUGGUUCUGAAUGGAAGGGCCAUCGCUCAACGGAUAAAAGGUACUCCGGGGAUAACAGGCUGAUACCGCCCAAGAGUUCAUAUCGACGGCGGUGUUUGGCACCUCGAUGUCGGCUCAUCACAUCCUGGGGCUGAAGUAGGUCCCAAGGGUAUGGCUGUUCGCCAUUUAAAGUGGUACGCGAGCUGGGUUUAGAACGUCGUGAGACAGUUCGGUCCCUAUCUGCCGUGGGCGCUGGAGAACUGAGGGGGGCUGCUCCUAGUACGAGAGGACCGGAGUGGACGCAUCACUGGUGUUCGGGUUGUCAUGCCAAUGGCACUGCCCGGUAGCUAAAUGCGGAAGAGAUAAGUGCUGAAAGCAUCUAAGCACGAAACUUGCCCCGAGAUGAGUUCUCCCUGACUCCUUGAGAGUCCUGAAGGAACGUUGAAGACGACGACGUUGAUAGGCCGGGUGUGUAAGCGCAGCGAUGCGUUGAGCUAACCGGUACUAAUGAACCGUGAGGCUUAACCU
This 2900-nucleotide ribosomal RNA is filed under the name Escherichia coli. RNAcentral's name for it is "bacterial LSU rRNA". It matches the Rfam family "Bacterial large subunit ribosomal RNA". Lineage: Bacteria; Pseudomonadati; Pseudomonadota; Gammaproteobacteria; Enterobacterales; Enterobacteriaceae. The record is from RNAcentral.